GCCAGACUCCUACGGGAGGCAGCAGUGAGGAAUAUUGGUCAAUGGGCGCGAGCCUGAACCAGCCAAGUCGCGUGAGGGAGGACGGCCCUACGGGUUGUAAACCUCUUUUGCCGGGGAGCAACGGGCGUCACGUGUGGCGUCACUGAGAGUACCCGGAGAAAAAGCAUCGGCUAACUCCGUGCCAGCAGCCGCGGUAAUACGUAGGAUCCGAGCAUUAUCCGGAGUGACUGGGUGUAAAGAGUUGCGUAGGUGGCAUAGUAAGUAGCUAGUGAAAUCUGGUGGCUCAACCAUUCAGACUAUUAGCUAAACUGCUAAGCUCGAGACCGUUAGGGGUAACUGGAAUUUCUAGUGUAGGAGUGAAAUCCGUAGAUAUUAGAAGGAACACCGAUAGCGUAGGCAGGUUACUGGGACGGUUCUGACACUAAGGCACGAAAGCGUAGGGAGCAAACGGGAUUAGAUACCCCGGUA
Molecule: ribosomal RNA, 468 nt
Filed under: uncultured bacterium
Lineage: Bacteria
Description: partial 16S ribosomal RNA
Rfam family: Bacterial small subunit ribosomal RNA
Source: RNAcentral